AGUUGAUCAUGGCUCAGGAUGAACGCUAGCGACAGGCUUAACACAUGCAAGUCGAGGGGCAGCAUAAAAGUAGCAAUACUUGGUGGCGACCGGCGCACGGGUGAGUAACGCGUAUGCAACCUACCUAUCAGAGGGGAAUAACCCGGCGAAAGUCGGACUAAUACCGCAUAAAACAGGGGCACCGCAUGGUGAUAUUUGUUAAAGAAAUUCGCUGAUAGAUGGGCAUGCGUUCCAUUAGGUAGUUGGUGAGGUAACGGCUCACCAAGCCGACGAUGGAUAGGGGAACUGAGAGGUUGGUCCCCCACACUGGUACUGAGACACGGACCAGACUCCUACGGGAGGCAGCAGUGAGGAAUAUUGGUCAAUGGGCGGGAGCCUGAACCAGCCAAGUCGCGUGAAGGAAAAGAAGGAUCUAUGGUUCGUAAACUUCUUUUGCAGGGGAAUAAAGUGCAGGACGUGUCCUGUUUUGUAUGUACCCUGAGAAUAAGGAUCGGCUAACUCCGUGCCAGCAGCUGC
Molecule: ribosomal RNA, 516 nt
Filed under: uncultured bacterium
Lineage: Bacteria
Description: bacterial SSU rRNA
Rfam family: Bacterial small subunit ribosomal RNA
Source: RNAcentral